UUAAAACUGUUUUUCUUACCUCUUUAGGGCCUUCAUCAGCGAUGUGAAAUUCAAACCAGAUCCAUCCAUUUGGAGGAGUCAGCUGCUUCCUGAACUUCAGGCCUUGAGGCAGGAGACAGCGUGUACCAUCUCCUGCCAUUCUGUUGAUAAACCUGGGAUGACUACGCCACACCCUGACAUUACAGCAUCUUGUUUUAUCUCCCUGAGAGUGCUACCAGCAAUGCCACCUCCAAGUGUAGCUGUUUCAGGUGUGGACCCUAACACUGGAUUCGUGUACCCAGCUCUGAUGCUGUCAUCCCUCUUGUGGAGUGAGUAAAAGGACUUUCCUUUGUUAUGGGAUGCUGGAUGCUGUAUGCUGUGGUUAGUUGCAC
This 371-nucleotide long non-coding RNA is filed under the name Homo sapiens (human). RNAcentral describes it as "HSALNT0267095". The record is from RNAcentral. Lineage: Eukaryota; Metazoa; Chordata; Mammalia; Primates; Hominidae.